Molecule: ribosomal RNA, 388 nt
Filed under: uncultured bacterium
Lineage: Bacteria
Description: bacterial SSU rRNA
Rfam family: Bacterial small subunit ribosomal RNA
Source: RNAcentral
AUUGAACGCUGGCGGCAUGCCUUACACAUGCAAGUCGAACGGUAACGCGGGGCAACCUGGCGACGAGUGGCGAACGGGUGAGUAAUGCAUCGGAACGUACCCAGUAGUGGGGGAUAGCCCGGCGAAAGCCGGAUUAAUACCGCAUACGACCUACGGGUGAAAGGGGGGGAUCGCAAGACCUCUCGCUAUUGGAGCGGCCGAUGUCAGAUUAGGUAGUUGGUGGGGUAAAAGCCUACCAAGCCUGUGAUCUGUAGCUGGUCUGAGAGGACGACCAGCCACACUGGGACUGAGACACGGCCCAGACUCCUACGGGAGGCAGCAGUGGGGAAUUUUGGACAAUGGGCGCAAGCCUGAUCCAGCAAUGCCGCGUGCGGGAAGAAGGCCUCGG